GGGUAUAUAGCUCAGUGGCAGAGCGCAUGCCUUGCAUGCUUGAGGUCCUAGGUUCAAUUCCCCAGUACCUCCA
Molecule: transfer RNA, 73 nt
Filed under: Camelus bactrianus (Bactrian camel)
Lineage: Eukaryota; Metazoa; Chordata; Mammalia; Artiodactyla; Camelidae
Also listed under: 2 other names
Rfam family: tRNA
About the family: Transfer RNA (tRNA) molecules are approximately 80 nucleotides in length. Their secondary structure includes four short double-helical elements and three loops (D, anti-codon, and T loops).
Source: Rfam by way of RNAcentral